Molecule: long non-coding RNA, 573 nt
Filed under: Struthio camelus australis
Lineage: Eukaryota; Metazoa; Chordata; Aves; Struthioniformes; Struthionidae
Description: lncRNA (ENSSCUG00000005921.1)
Source: RNAcentral
GGGGGCGGCGCGGGCAGGGCCGGUGCUGGCCGCCGGCUGGUCGCCCAGGCCGCUGCCCGGGCCGCGCAGCGGGUACCUGAUGUCUGUGCGACGCUUUGCUGGGGAGCGCCAAGUUAGAGAGCUCUUCUCUGCCCUGGCCUGUUGCUGGUCCUCCCACAACUUAAUGAGAUGAGAAACAAGGUUUGCCUAUUGAACUUGGGCUCAAACUGACUGAGGGAAAUAGGAGCUGAAAUGAGCAGCGUUGCACACAGACCAGGAACAUGCAGGCAUGGAACGAGUUGCAAAUUGGCCUCUAUGGAUGCAGGAUGCAAACAGUAGGUGGUGGAAAAAAAUCAUCGGCCUGAUACAGAACUCUAACAGAAAGGGAUCAUUCAUAUGAUACUCUCUUGGGCAAAGAAGGGGCUAUCAGUUUUUCAAGUCUGCAUUCUGAGAACAGAUACUGAAGGAGUGAACUGCAUCUGAUCAUCAGGUCAAAUUUGAGCAGGGGAUUGCCUGAAAAUGAAGACUGGACACUUGACUCUUUUUGUUCAUGGGAAAUGCAAGAGAAUGUGCAUGUGCAGGACAGCAAACGGG